Molecule: transfer RNA, 76 nt
Filed under: Gammaproteobacteria bacterium
Lineage: Bacteria; Pseudomonadati; Pseudomonadota; Gammaproteobacteria
Description: tRNA-Ala
Rfam family: tRNA
About the family: Transfer RNA (tRNA) molecules are approximately 80 nucleotides in length. Their secondary structure includes four short double-helical elements and three loops (D, anti-codon, and T loops). Further hydrogen bonds mediate the characteristic L-shaped molecular structure. tRNAs have two regions of fundamental functional importance: the anti-codon, which is responsible for specific mRNA codon recognition, and the 3' end, to which the tRNAs corresponding amino acid is attached (by aminoacyl-tRNA synthetases). tRNAs cope with the degeneracy of the genetic code in two manners: having more than one tRNA (with a specific anti-codon) for a particular amino acid; and 'wobble' base-pairing, i.e. permitting non-standard base-pairing at the 3rd anti-codon position.
Source: RNAcentral
GGGGGAUUAGUUCAGUUGACAGAACGUCCGGCUUGCACCCGGAAGGUGCGCGGUUUGAAUCCGCGAUCCUCCACCA